This 307-nucleotide unclassified non-coding RNA is filed under the name plant metagenome. RNAcentral's name for it is "partial contains 5.8S ribosomal RNA, internal transcribed spacer 2, and large subunit ribosomal RNA". The stretch from base 1 to 105 matches the Rfam family "5.8S ribosomal RNA", at positions 50 to 154 of the family's 154-position model. The record is from RNAcentral.
GAAAUGCGAUAAGUAGUGUGAAUUGCAGAAUUCAGUGAAUCAUCGAAUCUUUGAACGCACAUUGCGCCCCUCGGCAUUCCGUGGGGCAUGCCUGUUCGAGCGUCAUCUACACCCUCAAGCUCUGCUUGGUGUUGGGCGUCUGUCCCGCCUCCGCGCGCGGACUCACCCCAAAUGCAUUGGCAGCGGUUCCUUGCCCCACUCUUUGCGCAGCACAUUGCCAUUCGAGGCGGCGGCGGCCCGCGUCCAACAAGCUCAACCCCCCCGUCUUUGACCUCGGAUCAGGUAGGGAUACCCGCUGAACUUAAGC